GACCCAACAAUCAAUGUCGCAAACGCUAAAGAUAAAACCCAAACUCCCAUCCUAACUUGACCAAUUGAUGUCUGAUAAUGGUUCUUGAGAUUGAGCCGUUCUCCAUGACUUUCCCUUCCCAACCACCGUCCUCCAUUCCACCUUAUCAAUACGUAUAGCCUACAGGCCAAAUGAAAGGCCAAAAUUUCUGAAAUUACCAUCUAGUAAUAUCACUGCAUUCAUAACAUUCCAAACU
RNAcentral lists this long non-coding RNA (235 nucleotides) under Elaeis guineensis (African oil palm). RNAcentral's name for it is "long non-coding RNA (EGUI_LNC047773)". Lineage: Eukaryota; Viridiplantae; Streptophyta; Magnoliopsida; Arecales; Arecaceae. The record is from RNAcentral.